AAUAAUAAUCAUAAAUGGAUUAGUCUUUCUUUAUUUAUUAGUUAUUCUUUGGUAUACUUUUGUAUUCACAUUUUUCUAUUUCAUUAGAAAUUCAAAGGAUUGAAAUUCCAAUGAAAUUCUAGACAUCAUUUUCCUAUGUCAUAUGAGAAUUACAAGAACAAGUACUUUUCUAUAUUACAUGAGAGAAUUUUAAGAAUGAUACUUCUUGGUCCAAAUUUGACUGAAAGCAAAUGAACUCUGCACUACACAAAGCUUUAAUGUUUGGUUAUGGAAUUAUGGUAUAUGAGGAUGGUGGCCUACUGCUG
This 305-nucleotide long non-coding RNA is filed under the name Olea europaea subsp. europaea. Lineage: Eukaryota; Viridiplantae; Streptophyta; Magnoliopsida; Lamiales; Oleaceae. The record is from RNAcentral.